AAGUCAGAGAUACUGAAUCUGUUCAGAUUACAGAUCAUCUACAGUCUGUUGUUAAUUAAAAUCAGCAACAGAUAGCAUGUGGAGCAUUUUGAGAGCUACUUUGUCACAAUUAAAACAACUGGAGACUGUGUACAAGCU
Molecule: long non-coding RNA, 138 nt
Organism: Etheostoma spectabile (orangethroat darter)
Lineage: Eukaryota; Metazoa; Chordata; Actinopteri; Perciformes; Percidae
Exons: 3
Source: RefSeq, a predicted model, not a curated record